Molecule: ribosomal RNA, 460 nt
Filed under: uncultured bacterium
Lineage: Bacteria
Description: partial 16S ribosomal RNA
Rfam family: Bacterial small subunit ribosomal RNA
Source: RNAcentral
CCUACGGGCGGCUGCAGUGAGGAAUAUUGGUCAAUGGCCGAGAGGCUGAACCAGCCAAGUCGCGUGAGGGAAGAAUGUCCUAUGGAUUGUAAACCUCUUUUGUCAGGGAGCAAAGUCACCCACGUGUGGGUGUUGGAGAGUACCUGAAGAAAAAGCAUCGGCUAACUCCGUGCCAGCAGCCGCGGUAAUACGGAGGGUGCGAGCGUUAAUCGGAAUUACUGGGCGUAAAGCGCUCGUAGGCGGUAUGUCAAGUCAAGGGUGAAAUCCCCGCGCUCAACGUGGGAACUGCCUUUGAAACUGGCAAACUGGAGUGUGUGAGAGGAUAGUGGAAUUCCAGGUGUAGGAGUGAAAUCCGUAGAUAUCUGGAGGAACAUCAGUGGCGAAGGCGACUAUCUGGCACAUAACUGACGCUGAGGAGCGAAAGCGUGGGUAGCAAACAGGAUUAGAUACCCCAGUAGUC